CGUUGAUACCCUUCAUAGUAGAAGCAUAAAUCAUUGGCUUAUCAUUUAGGGAUGACAAAGACAACGUCAGGUAAUCAAAAUUUGGCUAUUUAACUAGAGUAUCUGAAUGAUACGAAUUUCAAGAAGCAUCGCGUGAUUGUAAAGAAUGUUUUCAGCAGAUAUUCGCUGUAUCAUAUUAAUUUGUUGUGCCAGUUUUCUUUCUAUGGUUUUUGGUUCAGCAAACAAUGCAACACAUACUAAACAGUGUCUGAUAGAUAUGCUAAAUCAAUGUCCACCCAAUUCUUCAUGUGAUGAGGGCUUGUGUGUUUGUUUGCAUUCAUUCAAACAAAAUCCUGAAUAUAAUGAGCAGAAGAAUAACGAUUUUUGCAUUGAAGUAGAUGCAACAUUAUCUCUUCCCGGCAACAAAUCAAUCACGUACGACAAAAUAUACAGAAAAGCCCCAGAACCACAUCACAUAUUAGGCGGAAUUUUAAUCCCCGUUAGUGCGGUUAUAGUGAUUUUAGCCACCAUCGUAUUAGCUAAGAAAACGCAACUUAUGCAAAGGAUUCGUUUGUCCCUUUUUUCGAAUCGUCCCAGAAGGCCCGCGUAUGAAGAUGUUGUUUUAGGUAAUGAUUCCGAUGAUCCCCCUAUUAUUUAAAACAUGUAUUUCAAGUAUACUAAAAUACACUUUAUUGAUAUUUGCAGUAGGCUAUGAACAAUAAUUCCAAAGAAUGAUGGAUUCUAGAGCAUAAAAAAUAUUGAAUGUGAACAUCAAGCAAGGCUUUGAUCAACUCGUUAUUCCUAAUGGCAUAGUUAUCAUCAUACAAUUUAAGUUCAGUAAAUUUUAGAUAUGUAAAGAAAUUAUUUGAUAGAAAUAUUUUAUUUUACUUGUACAUAUCAAUACUAUUUUUCCAUAAUACAUCAACAAUGUAUAUAAUUCAUAUCAAACCAAGUAAUGUCGUUUAGAAUUUUCAAUCAAUUCAAUUGAUUUAACUUGUAUCGUAAAAGUAUUCAAUAUAAACAAAUGUGAUUGAUUGUCGAUAAUUUUCUACAUUCAAAUAGAUAAUGUAAGAUUCAAUAUGAUGUAAUGUGAACCAAAAUAAUAAAAAAUAAAAACAAUUA
Long non-coding RNA from Aedes aegypti (yellow fever mosquito), 1101 nucleotides. RefSeq lists it as uncharacterized. Lineage: Eukaryota; Metazoa; Arthropoda; Insecta; Diptera; Culicidae. The record is from RefSeq and is a predicted model, not a curated record. The transcript is spliced from 2 exons.